This 21-nucleotide microRNA is filed under the name Arabidopsis lyrata. Its description in RNAcentral is "aly-miR845a-3p". Its record names the gene aly-miR845a-3p. Lineage: Eukaryota; Viridiplantae; Streptophyta; Magnoliopsida; Brassicales; Brassicaceae. The record is from miRBase by way of RNAcentral.
CGGCUCUGAUACCAGUUGAUG